This 789-nucleotide unclassified non-coding RNA is filed under the name Vignysa teres. RNAcentral describes it as "partial contains 16S ribosomal RNA, tRNA-Leu, tRNA-Ala, and tRNA-Ser". The stretch from base 1 to 664 matches the Rfam family "Bacterial large subunit ribosomal RNA", at positions 1857 to 2925 of the family's 2925-position model. The record is from RNAcentral. Lineage: Eukaryota; Metazoa; Annelida; Clitellata; Crassiclitellata; Hormogastridae.
UCCUGCCCAGUGACAUAGUUCAACGGCCGCGGUAUCCUAACCGUGCAAAGGUAGCAUAAUCACUUGCCUAUUAAUUGUAGGCUAGAAUGAAAGGAAUAACGAAAUAGACCCUGUCUCUAUAAGCAAACUAAAAAUUAAUCUCUAACUGAAGAGUGUUAGAUAUAGUCGGAGGACAAGAAGACCCUAUAGAGCUUUAUUUUAACAAAGACCACAAAUCUUUACUAGAAUUCGGUUGGGGCGACCAAGGAAACAUAAAUCAUCCUAAGUAUAAAGACAUAUAAGUCCAAUAAAGACCCUUAUUAAAGAUCAUAAAAACAAGCUACCUUAGGGAUAACAGGCUAAUCCUGCUAAAGAGUCCUUAUCAACAGCAGGGGUUGGCACCUCGAUGUUGGCUUAGGGAAACUAUAUGACGCAAAAGUCAUAAAAAGAUGGUUUGUUCAACCAAUAAAACCCUACAUGAGCUGAGUUCAGACCGGCGUAAGCCAGGUUAGUUUCUAUCCCCGAUAAAAAAUCUAUCUAUAGUACGAAAGGACCUAGAUAAGAAUAAUUAUUAUACUUAAAUGAAUUUAUAUAAUAUCUCAAUAAUUUUAAUACAACCAUAAACUAUGAAGUGAGUUGGCAGAAUAGUGCAAUCGACUUAGGAUCGAUUUAUGGGCGUGCCCACCCACUAAUGCCACUUAGUUUAUUUAGAAUAGUUAAUUUGCACUUAACAGGAGAGGUUUUUCAGUAGCAGCCUGAUGUUUUGGAAACACUAGACCUUGAACGUCUACUAAAGAUGUUCGACUCAUC